This 1297-nucleotide long non-coding RNA is filed under the name Triticum aestivum (bread wheat). Its description in RNAcentral is "long non-coding RNA (TAES_LNC008060)". Lineage: Eukaryota; Viridiplantae; Streptophyta; Magnoliopsida; Poales; Poaceae. The record is from RNAcentral.
UUAAAUAUUAUACAAUGCUCAAAUGUAAUACACAAAGAGGAUCAAGAUGAACACAUAUUGCACAAGCAUUGAUAAUAUAUUCACAAACAUACAUAUACUGAUCAUAAGUUCAAAAACAGGACAAUCUUGACAAAGCAAAGUUUGGCCAUUUGACCACCAUCCAGCAAACACAAGCCACAUAAAAGGACCACUAUUUGUUGUUCUGCAGGAGUUCAAACACUAAAUGGUACAGAACAAAGUCACACCCAUGAGCACAAGAUAUAUGCUCCAAAACACUUCAAGCACCAAAUGGUCUAGAACAGACAUAAGAUUCAUGAUCACAAGUUGGCUGGUCCAAAAUACUGUAACAGCCAAAUGCUGCCGAACACCCUGAAGUCAUCACAUCCAUGUGCAAUAGAUGGUUGAGUACCUGAAAAUGAAUGGUCAAAUUCUCAUAUGUUCACCCCAACGAUUUUGUGCACUUCAAAGUUUGAAAAUAAAUGUCAAAAACAAAUGUAGUCGUAUGUUGUCUAAUGAACUAGAAUUAAAAUGUAUAGCUUCAGACCAAAAAAAACUGUAGUAUGUGAAGUUCUGCAUAUGCCAUGUGAUCUUUAGAUUGUGACCAUCAAAGUGUUAACACCAAACUAAUAGAUGUAUGCUAACUACUAAGCAAUUUAUAUGAGCAUCAGAUUACGUCAUGUGAUUUCAUAUUUUUAAUUUUAAAACUGCAGUAUGUGGAGUUCAUUUUUAUAUUCAAGACACGAAAAGUUAUCUAGUGAUACUAUAAUUUCACAAAUAGGUUUUACAAUUUCAGAUACACUGAAGUGUUAUGUGUGACACAUUUUCCUCGCUUGCCAUUUGGUUUACUCUGGCGUAUGAUAGUUAAUCCAUGUACUAGUGUUCUUAGUUCAAUAUUAUCUGAUCGAUAAACUAGCUAAAUGACACGAAAAUCAGUCUUGGAGCAUUUGUGUGUUCAUCAAAAAUGAAAAGGGGUCCACAAGACAACUAUGGAAAAUGGUUCAUGGGUUGUACAUAUUAUCUGUAAAUCAAAUGAUAACAUACUCACAUCGCUUGUUUCUUAUGCAAACUAUUUUAGUUCAUAGGCUGCUUCUUCCACUGCACGUUGCUCUGAAAAGUGUGAAUACAUGUGUCAACCACCCUGUGAAGACGAAAACUAUGUUUAAUAAUAUAGAUAACUCGGCUGAUCCUAAAUCAAAUUAGAAACUAGGCCAAGGGACUGCAAGUUAUGUCCUUGGUAAGUUUAUUGUAUGAACUUUUCAAAUGCACAAAUGAUUUUCAGGUAAUAUUAGGACAUCAC